AUUUAUUUAAUAAUGCAAAUAAAGUAUUUAAAGAAUUUCAGAAUUAGCAAACACCAUAGAAAAACUAAUUAACUGUUUUUAGAUGUAAAAACUUUAUUAGGUUAGCAUCACGUGAGAGCUUUGGAGCUCCUUCAAAUAUUAAUAUGCUUUACAGUUAACGUUUGAAUCCAGCUUUAUUAGGAGCCAAAAGAACUGUCUUUCCUGCUAAGGAGGUAGCUGUAUCACCUGGCUAGCCUUUUUCAGUGGCUUCCUAAGUGUUUACCAUUCAAGCUAAGAAAAACUGUACAGUAUCAUGACCAUCACAUAAGGUUAAGAAAACACUAAAGUGCAUACAAAUGCACAAAUAAUAAUAAGACUAGGAAGGUUUCAUUAAAGAACGGAAAUAAUUAAGUAUGUGUAUUAACAUCAGUGGGCCUCUCACGAAAGAACAUGCCAUGGUAACAUUUAAGCAGAACACCUGUCCUGGAGCAGAACAGGAUUCACAGGGCUGUUUGUGAUGUGUUUGGCUCCUUCCAGUAGUUAAACAUGGAAGGGAAAACCCAGGAUUCUGGUGACUCACAUCAGCCCAGUACAUCCACACUCCAGAACCAAGCCCAUAAAAACCUGACCACCAGAUGCUGGCACUGUGCACUCUGACUGGUUUAGCAAGCUUAUUUCAACCAACCAUAUGUAACAGUUUUCUGCAGUAUCCUACUGAACAGUUAUUUCCACUGUACAAAGUGGUUUAUCCAUAAUUUGUGACAGGUAAUUCAGAAGGUGUAAGAAUAUAGAGCAGAAUAUUAAAGACUUCAUCUCUCCAUGAAGAAAGAGAAAGCUGGCUUCACUGCAGAGGAUCCACUCUCCCUGCACAGCACUACUGCAACCCAAGAAAAUACACAUCACAGCAACUGACGACCACAUGAGGAGAAAGAAUAAAAUAAAGCAGUUUGUCUUUCAUUCCAUGAAAAGAAAAUUCACUAGGAAAGAUCAUGGAAAAAGCACUAUACCAUUACCUGCCUCCAAAUUCUUUGUCUUCUCUGCUACACUUAGCUUUCUAAGAAACUCGCUGAAAUCAGAUUUAUCCUUACGACAAAAUGGAACAAAUUAUUAACUCUGACAGCCAGCAGAAAUUGCUUAGCAUUCUACCUGUGCAUAAUUUCCCAGCAAGAUAGAUCACUACAGCUACAAGUGGUGUAACAUGAAACAACAGCAGAUCUGUGCAAAGCACAGUGACAUGCUAAAAAAAUAAUUCCUGCAAGUAAGAAUAUUAGGAAAGGUCAACAGGUGUUACCAGCUAAUACAAAAGGUAUGUCAUCAUAUAAAAAUCUGUCUCAGCUGAUGCAGUGUAGUCUUUCCUCUUCAGUAAUCUUGAGCUAUCCUUUAAAGGCAACAAGCACAAUAAAUGAAUUGAAACUGCAAGUUUUUGAGGUUAA
This 1412-nucleotide long non-coding RNA is filed under the name Phasianus colchicus (ring-necked pheasant). RNAcentral's name for it is "lncRNA (ENSPCLG00000006317.1)". The record is from RNAcentral. Lineage: Eukaryota; Metazoa; Chordata; Aves; Galliformes; Phasianidae.